GUGGGGAAUAUUGGACAAUGGGCGAAAGCCUGAUCCAGCCAUGCCGCGUGUGUGAAGAAGGUCUUCGGAUUGUAAAGCACUUUAAGUUGGGAGGAAGGGCAGUAAGUUAAUACCUUGCUGUUUUGACGUUACCGACAGAAUAAGCACCGGCUAACUUCGUGCCAGCAGCCGCGGUAAUACGAAGGGUGCAAGCGUUAAUCGGAAUUACUGGGCGUAAAGCGCGCGUAGGUGGUUUUGUAUGUUGGAGGUGAAAUCCCCGGGCUCAACCUGGGAACUGCCUCCAAAACUGCAUGACUAGAGUACUGUAGAGGGUAGUGGAAUUUCCUGUGUAGCGGUGAAAUGCGUAGAUAUAGGAAGGAACACCAGUGGCGAAGGCGACUACCUGGACUGAUACUGACACUGAGGUGCGAAAGCGUGGGGAGCAAACAGGAUUAGAAACCCUGGUAGUCC
Molecule: ribosomal RNA, 450 nt
Filed under: uncultured bacterium
Lineage: Bacteria
Description: bacterial SSU rRNA
Rfam family: Bacterial small subunit ribosomal RNA
Source: RNAcentral